UACGGAGGGAGCUAGCGUUGUUCGGAAUUACUGGGCGUAAAGCGCGCGUAGGCGGCUUUGUAAGUUAGAGGUGAAAGCCCGGGGCUCAACCCCGGAAUUGCCUUUAAGACUGCAUCGCUUGAAUCCGGGAGAGGUGAGCGGAAUUCCGAGUGUAGAGGUGAAAUUCGUAGAUAUUCGGAAGAACACCAGUGGCGAAGGCGGCUCACUGGACCGGCAUUGACGCUGAGGUGCGAAAGCGUGGGGAGCAAACAGG
RNAcentral lists this ribosomal RNA (253 nucleotides) under uncultured bacterium. RNAcentral describes it as "partial 16S ribosomal RNA". It matches the Rfam family "Bacterial small subunit ribosomal RNA", at positions 524 to 776 of the family's 1533-position model. The record is from RNAcentral.